GGCAGUGUAGCUUAGUGGCAAGGAGUAGGGCUCAUAACCGAAAGGUUUUGGGUUCAAUUCCCCACUGGGGCA
This is a non-coding RNA of Megalops atlanticus (tarpon), 72 nucleotides long. The record is from the annotation of a GenBank genome assembly. NCBI's taxonomy places the organism in Eukaryota, Metazoa, Chordata, Actinopteri, Elopiformes, Megalopidae.